Molecule: long non-coding RNA, 425 nt
Filed under: Equus caballus (horse)
Lineage: Eukaryota; Metazoa; Chordata; Mammalia; Perissodactyla; Equidae
Description: lncRNA (ENSECAG00000044827.1)
Source: RNAcentral
CUUGAAUAACAGUGAUCUGGUCACAACUGAAGGAAUAAGGUGGGAAUUUGGAAGACAAGCAGACUUUUUUCUCCACAUUCCAUAAAAAUUCCUUUAGAAAGAGUGACGGUAGAUUGAAAACGUUGAAGAGUGGGAAGGAAUUGUCUUAAAGGAAGGACUGAAGCCUAUGUUACAAGUGCCUCAAGACGGCAAAAAGCUUUGUGAAUCAGCAAAUUCCUAGCAGCUGCUUUGCGGUUAUUAUCAGUAUUCCUCCAAGGGUGAACUUUCCUGUGACCUACUAUCAACAAACAGUUCUUCCCUCAAGGGAACUAAAGAGAGCGCUGGUAGACUGAAAACAUUUAGGAUUGGGAAGGAAUUUUCUUAAAGGAAGGACCGAUAGCCAAACUACAAGCAAAAGAGAAGAACAUGAGAAGGGAUAAUCAGAG